Molecule: ribosomal RNA, 440 nt
Filed under: uncultured bacterium
Lineage: Bacteria
Description: partial 16S ribosomal RNA
Rfam family: Bacterial small subunit ribosomal RNA
Source: RNAcentral
CCUACGGGAGGCAGCAGUGGGGAAUAUUGCACAAUGGGGGAAACCCUGAUGCAGCGACGCCGCGUGAGUGAAGAAGUAUCUCGGUACGUAAAGCUCUAUCAGCAGGGAAGAAAAUGACGGUACCUGACUAAGAAGCCCCGGCUAACUACGUGCCAGCAGCCGCGGUAAUAAGUAGGGGGCAAGCGUUAUCCGGAUUUACUGGGUGUAAAGGGAGCGUAGGCGGCGGUGAAAGUCCGGAGUGAAAGACGAGGGGUUAACCAUGGUACUGCUGUGGAAACUGGAGGGGGUGAGUGCGGGAGAGGCAGGCGGAAUUCCUGGUGUAGCGGUGAAAUGCGUAGAUAUUAGGAGGAACACCGGCGGCGAAGGCGGCCUGCUGGACCGUAACUGACGUUGAGGCUCGAAAGCGUGGGGAGCAAACAGGAUUAGAUACCCCUGUAGUC